RNAcentral lists this ribosomal RNA (426 nucleotides) under uncultured bacterium. RNAcentral's name for it is "bacterial SSU rRNA". It matches the Rfam family "Bacterial small subunit ribosomal RNA", at positions 31 to 502 of the family's 1533-position model. The record is from RNAcentral.
GUACGCUGGCGGCACGCCUAACACAUGCAAGUCGAACGAAGUAGCAAUACUUAGUGGCAGACGGGUGAGUAACAUGUAGGUAUCUGCCCUAUGGCCUGGAAUAACACGAGGAAACUUGUGCUAAUACCGGAUAAGUCUUUACGGAGAAAGCUUUAUGCACCAUUGGAUGAGCCUGCACUUGAUUAGUUUGUUGGUGGGGUAAUGGCCUACCAAGACUGUGAUCAAUAGCUGAUUUGAGAGGAUGAUCAGCCACAUUGGGACUGAGACACGGCCCAAACUCCUACGGGAGGCAGCAGUGGGGAAUCUUGCACAAUGGAGGAAACUCUGAUGCAGCGAUGCCGCGUGAGUGAAGAAGGCCUUUGGGUUGUAAAGCUCUUUCGUCGGGGAAGAAAAUGACUGUACCCGAAUAAGAAGGUCCGGCUAACU